CCUACGGGCGGCAGCAGUGGGGAAUAUUGCACAAUGGGGGAAACCCUGAUGCAGCGACGCCGCGUGCGUGAAGAAGUAUUUCGGUACGUAAAGCUCUAUUAGCAGGGAAGAAAAUGACGGUACCUGACUAAGACGCCCCGGCUAACUACGUGCCAGCAGCCGCGGUAAUACGUAGGGGGCAAGCGUUAUCCGGAUUUACUGGGGGUAAAGGGAGCGUAGACGGCAGCGCAAGUCUGUAGUGAAAUCCCAUGGCUUAACCAUGGAACUGCUUUGGAAACUGUGCAGCUAGAGUGCAGGAGAGGUAAGCGGAAUUCCUGGUGUAGCGGUGAAAUGCGUAGAGAUUAGGAGGAACACCGGUGGCGAAGGCAGCUUACUGGACUGUAACUGACGUUGAGGCUCGAAAGCGUGGGGAGCAAACAGGAUUAGAUACCCCGGUAGUC
RNAcentral lists this ribosomal RNA (440 nucleotides) under uncultured bacterium. RNAcentral's name for it is "partial 16S ribosomal RNA". It matches the Rfam family "Bacterial small subunit ribosomal RNA", at positions 338 to 795 of the family's 1533-position model. The record is from RNAcentral.